This 424-nucleotide ribosomal RNA is filed under the name Verrucomicrobiota bacterium. Its description in RNAcentral is "Verrucomicrobia bacterium partial 16S ribosomal RNA". It matches the Rfam family "Bacterial small subunit ribosomal RNA", at positions 355 to 776 of the family's 1533-position model. The record is from RNAcentral. Lineage: Bacteria; Pseudomonadati; Verrucomicrobiota.
UGAGGAAUAUUGGUCAAUGGACGGAAGUCUGAACCAGCCAAGUAGCGUGCAGGAUGACGGCCCUAUGGGUUGUAAACUGCUUUUAUACGGGGAUAAAGUUAGGGACGUGUCCCUAUUUGCAGGUACCGUAUGAAUAAGGACCGGCUAAUUCCGUGCCAGCAGCCGCGGUAAUACGGAAGGUCCGGGCGUUAUCCGGAUUUAUUGGGUUUAAAGGGAGCGUAGGCCGUAGAUUAAGUGUGUUGUGAAAUGUAGACGCUCAACGUCUGACUUGCAGCGCAUACUGGUUUACUUGAGUUUGCACAACGUUGGCGGAAUUCGUCGUGUAGCGGUGAAAUGCUUAGAUAUCAUGACGAACUCCGAUUGCGAAGGCAGCUUACGGGAGCGCAACUGACGCUAAAGCUCGAAGGUGCGGGUAUCGAACAGG